AACCGCUUGACGGAGCGCGAGUAAAAACUCGCUGAGAUCACCUAAGUUCUACUUGAUGGUGAGUACCGUUGAACCUGAUCAGGUUAAGACCUGCGUAGGAAUCAAGCCACCUCAAACU
RNAcentral lists this non-coding RNA (118 nucleotides) under Acinetobacter nectaris. Its description in RNAcentral is "TPP sequence". It matches the Rfam family "TPP riboswitch aptamer (THI element)". From Rfam's summary of the family: Vitamin B(1) in its active form thiamin pyrophosphate (TPP) is an essential coenzyme that is synthesised by coupling of pyrimidine and thiazole moieties in bacteria. The previously detected thiamin-regulatory element, thi box was extended, resulting in a new, highly conserved RNA secondary structure, the THI element, which is widely distributed in eubacteria and also occurs in some archaea. Lineage: Bacteria; Pseudomonadati; Pseudomonadota; Gammaproteobacteria; Moraxellales; Moraxellaceae. RNAcentral also lists the same sequence under 1 other name. The record is from RNAcentral.